Molecule: ribosomal RNA, 490 nt
Filed under: uncultured bacterium
Lineage: Bacteria
Description: partial 16S ribosomal RNA
Rfam family: Bacterial small subunit ribosomal RNA
Source: RNAcentral
AUUGAACGCUGGCGGCAUGCCUUACACAUGCAAGUCGAACGGCAGCAUGAUCUAGCUUGCUAGAUUGAUGGCGAGUGGCGCACGGGUGAGUAAUACAUCGGAAUGUGCCCUGUAGUGGGGGAUAACUAGUCGAAAGAUUAGCUAAUACCGCAUACGACCUGAGGGUGAAAGUGGGGGACCGCAAGGCCUCAUGCUAUAGGAGCGGCCGAUGUCUGAUUAGCUAGUUGGUGAGGUAAAGGCUCACCAAGGCGACGAUCAGUAGCUGGUCUGAGAGGACGAUCAGCCACACUGGGACUGAGACACGGCCCAGACUCCUACGGGAGGCAGCAGUGGGGAAUUUUGGACAAUGGGCGAAAGCCUGAUCCAGCAAUGCCGCGUGUGUGAAGAAGGCCUUCGGGUUGUAAAGCACUUUUGUCCGGAAAGAAAUGGCUCUGGUUAAUACCUGGGGUCGAUGACGGUACCGGAAGAAUAAGGACCGGCUAACUACGUG